AUACGAAGGGGGCUAGCGUUGUUCGGAAUCACUGGGCGUAAAGGACGCGUAGGCGGGUUGGCAAGUCAGAUGUGAAAUCCUACAGCUUAACUGUAGAACUGCAUUUGAAACUGCUAACCUAGAGUAUGGGAGGGGGAGAUGGAAUUAGUGGUGUAGGGGUAAAAUCCGUAGAUAUCACUAGGAAUACCGAAAGCGAAGGCGAUCUCCUGGAACAUAACUGACGCUAAGGCGUGAAAGCGUGGGGAGCAAACAGGAUUAGAUACCCUAGUAGUCC
RNAcentral lists this ribosomal RNA (274 nucleotides) under uncultured bacterium. RNAcentral describes it as "partial 16S ribosomal RNA". It matches the Rfam family "Bacterial small subunit ribosomal RNA", at positions 523 to 796 of the family's 1533-position model. The record is from RNAcentral.